Molecule: non-coding RNA, 193 nt
Organism: Oryza glaberrima (African rice)
Lineage: Eukaryota; Viridiplantae; Streptophyta; Magnoliopsida; Poales; Poaceae
Source: Rfam
CCUAGUUUCCGUGUCCAACAUUUGACCGUCUAUCUUAUUUGAAAAAAAUAUGAAAAAAAUUAAAAAGACAAGUCACAUAUAAAAUAUUAAUCAUGUUUUAUCAUCUAACAACAAUAAAAAUACGAAUUAUAAAAAAAUUUCAUAUAAGACGGACAGUCAAAGUUAGACACGGAAACCAAGGAUUUGCCUUUUU